GAAUAAGUUACUAAGGGCUUACGGUGGAUGCCUUGGCGCUAGAUGCCGAUGAAGGACGUAGUACACUGCGAUAAGCCUCGGGUAGCCGUGUGCAGGCUUUGAUCCGGGGAUGU
This 113-nucleotide ribosomal RNA is filed under the name uncultured Chloroflexota bacterium. Its description in RNAcentral is "uncultured Chloroflexi bacterium partial 23S ribosomal RNA". It matches the Rfam family "Bacterial large subunit ribosomal RNA", at positions 1 to 113 of the family's 2925-position model. Lineage: Bacteria; Bacillati; Chloroflexota. The record is from RNAcentral.